AAGAAAAUGCGAAUGCUAUACUGUGUUUUUUUCUGAUAAGAUGGAAAUAGUUCAAGCUGUUAUUUAUUUAUUAUUUUCGAGUCUAAAGGCGAGAUAUACAGUACAUAUAAUUAAGGUUUUUGAUUUAUCGGAAGAAAAGAUCUUGGAUCAGCCUUUUUUACAGUUCCGUUUCCCCACCCCGGCAUUUUAUAAAAAAUUUUAUACCAUCAUUUUGUUGUCGUUUUAUUCUGAAUACUGCCGUGAAAUUCUUGGAGAAAUUCGUGUUUUAAAAUGAAAUGAUAGCCCUUCGUCUUAUAAUUAGAACAAAUCAAUUAUUGGAAUAGCUUUCUGUUGUUUUGCGCUAUAAAUAUUUCAUUUUCUGCCGUUAAUUUCUUCACCAAAUUUUACGUUUGAAUUUGGA
RNAcentral lists this long non-coding RNA (400 nucleotides) under Androctonus crassicauda. The record is from RNAcentral. Lineage: Eukaryota; Metazoa; Arthropoda; Arachnida; Scorpiones; Buthidae.